Molecule: ribosomal RNA, 299 nt
Filed under: Stylocheiron robustum
Lineage: Eukaryota; Metazoa; Arthropoda; Malacostraca; Euphausiacea; Euphausiidae
Description: partial large subunit ribosomal RNA
Source: RNAcentral
AAUCAUUAGUUUUUUAAUUGAAAGCUUGAAUGAAUGGUUGGACAAAAAAUAGUCUGUCUUAAUUUAAUACAUUGAAUUUAACUUUUAAGUAAAAAGGCUUAAAUUAUUUAAAGUGACGAUAAGACCCUAUAAAAUUUAAUAAUUUAAAAUUAUGUAAGUGGAUUAGUUAUUUAAAGGUUUUUUAGUUUAAUUUAUUUUAUUGGGGCGAUAAAAAUAAAAAUAAUAACUGUUUUAAAAGUUUAUAAUAAAGAUUAUUAGUUAUAUUAAAUGAUCCUUUAAUAAAGAUUAUGAGAUUAAGU